This 543-nucleotide ribosomal RNA is filed under the name uncultured Ascomycota. RNAcentral describes it as "SSU rRNA". It matches the Rfam family "Eukaryotic small subunit ribosomal RNA", at positions 549 to 1098 of the family's 1831-position model. The record is from RNAcentral. Lineage: Eukaryota; Fungi; Ascomycota.
UGGAGGGCAAGUCUGGUGCCAGCAGCCGCGGUAAUUCCAGCUCCAAUAGCGUAUAUUAAAGUUGUUGUGGUUAAAAAGCUCGUAGUUGAACCUUGGGCCUGGCUGGCCGGUCCGCCUCACCGCGUGUACUGGUCCGGCCGGGCCUUUCCCUCUGUGGAACCCCAUGCCCUUCACUGGGUGUGGCGGGGAAACAGGACUUUUACUGUGAAAAAAUUAGAGUGCUCCAGGCAGGCCUAUGCUCGAAUACAUUAGCAUGGAAUAAUAGAAUAGGACGUGUGGUUCUAUUUUGUUGGUUUCUAGGACCGCCGUAAUGAUUAAUAGGGACAGUCGGGGGCAUCAGUAUUCAAUUGUCAGAGGUGAAAUUCUUGGAUUUAUUGAAGACUAACUACUGCGAAAGCAUUUGCCAAGGAUGUUUUCAUUAAUCAGGAACGAAAGUUAGGGGAUCGAAGACGAUCAGAUACCGUCGUAGUCUUAACCAUAAACUAUGCCGACUAGGGAUCGGACGGUGUUAUUUUUUGACCCGUUCGGCACCUUACGGGAAAC